AAUUUGCGAAUAAUCAUUAUUUUAUUAGGAAGGUGAGAAGGUUCAGCGGAAUGUAACAACUGCGGAUACUUUAAUGGACCUAAUAAGAAAUUGUUUUCCUCCCAAUAUAAUCCAAGCUAACCUGCAACAAUAUCAGACAUCUAUUAUAUAUCCAGGGGAAGAAUUUAAUAAUAUAACUGGAGAGGAUCCUGAUGAUAAAAACACGUGGAAAGUUACAAGCAACUGGACAAAUUCUACAAAUAUUCUAGGACUCGUUGUUUUCUCAAUUGUGACAGGGAUAGCUAUAUCAUUAUCAGAAGAGGAGGGGAUACCGUUGCUGAGGUUUGUGGAGAGUGUUAGUGUUGUCAUGAUGAAGGUUACAACGUGGAUAAUCCAUCUAGCACCAAUAGGAGUUCUUUUCCUUAUAGCCAGUCAGAUACUGGAGAUGGAUAAUAUUGCUGAAGAGUUUGGUAAGCUUGGCUGGUAUUUUGGAACUGUCAUGCUAGGAUUAUGUAUUCACGCAUUCAUCACACUACCUCUCAUCUAUAUAAUAUGCACUCGAUCCCUACCAUUCAGAUUCCUGGCAAAUAUGGCAAAUGUUUAUGUGACGGCGUUUGGCACAGCUUCUAGCUCAGCUACUCUGCCAGUCACCAUGAACGCACUUGAGGACAAGAAUGGGGUUGACCCGCGUAUUAGUAGAUUUGUAUUGCCUAUUGGUGCAACUAUCAACAUGGACGGGACUGCUCUUUAUGAAGCUGUUGCGGCAAUUUUUAUUGCGCAGAUGAACGGUAUCUUUCCCAGCAUAGGCCAGAUAAUUGCAAUCUCUAUAACAGCAACCUGUGCUAGUAUUGGUGCUGCAGGAAUACCCCAGGCUGGAUUGGUAACCAUGGUUAUGGUUCUGGAUACAGUUGGUCUUCCAUCUGAAUCCAUAUCCAUAAUUCUAUCCCUUGAUUGGUUGCUGGAUAGGUUUCGCACGGCUAUAAAUGUACUUGGAGACACUAUAGGAGCUGGCAUUGUUGCACAUCUCAGUAAAAAGGAACUUGAAGAAAUGACACUGAAGGAAUUGAAAAUUGAAGAGGAAAAGGCGUUGGAAGAAGAAAAUGACAAACUAUAAACAUGAAGAAACUUAUUUUUUGUUUAGCAUUCACAAAAAUUCCAGAAAAUCGAAAAUUGAUGUCGUCUGCUUUGCGUAAUGCAUGUCUGUAUAUGAAUACUUUGUUAUAUGAAAAAGCAAAAAAAAUGCAAUUUCUUUAUGACCAAAAACUUUUAAAGAACUUGAGCUCUGAUGAAAUUUAAACUGAGUCUGAUUGAAAUCAAAUCUCAAGUUCUAUCAUUUAUUUGUCAUACUUCUAAUCAUACAAUACGAAUUUAAUAUCUAUGAUUUUCUAUUUUGUCUCAAAAUUUGUAUGUUCAGAAUUUUAUGAAAUAUAUGUAUGUACUCAUUAAAAAUUAAAUUUAGCAAGUGUAUUAAAGGAUAUGGAUCAACGAUGUAAUUAUUGUGUUUCAUCCUCACCAGUGUAUACCAGUAUAUUUAAAAAGAAAGACUCAAAUUUCAAAUUUUUCAUUAAAUGUUUCCUGCAUUUUAACAGCUUUUACACCCCUAUCUAACCCGAACCGAAAACCUUUAAAUACUAAAGCCUGUAUAUAGAUAUAUGUAUUAUCAGGUUGUGAACCGAACAAAAGGAAUAACACUCGAAAGAGGGAAAAUAAGGCGAGUUGGCAAGGAAAACACUCUUUCCAACCACACACAGAUA
Molecule: unclassified non-coding RNA, 1733 nt
Filed under: Eurytemora carolleeae
Lineage: Eukaryota; Metazoa; Arthropoda; Copepoda; Calanoida; Temoridae
Description: excitatory amino acid transporter 3
Source: RNAcentral